CUCUGACUAGGAAACAACUGUCUCCUGUGUGUUUCAUGUCUAUUCAGAAGUGCUCUUCAAACUACUCAGUCUGGAAGCUGAUAUUAAAACUACCUUCUCAGUGGAGAGGCAAGUGUUCCUGUGCACUGAAGCUGGCCACAAUUCCUUGGACAAGUCCCUAAUUGUUGUCACUGAACAGUGUGGAACCUGGCUUUUCGGAUGUGACCUGGAAAAUGAUGCAGGGAUACAGGUGGCUGAGCAGAGGCCCUGGAAACAGCUGUCUCCAUCUUCUCAAUCUGCCGUGCAUAGAGUUGUAUGA
Molecule: long non-coding RNA, 298 nt
Filed under: Coturnix japonica (Japanese quail)
Lineage: Eukaryota; Metazoa; Chordata; Aves; Galliformes; Phasianidae
Description: lncRNA (ENSCJPG00005012685.1)
Source: RNAcentral